RNAcentral lists this long non-coding RNA (366 nucleotides) under Nicotiana tabacum (common tobacco). Its description in RNAcentral is "long non-coding RNA (NTAB_LNC003948)". Lineage: Eukaryota; Viridiplantae; Streptophyta; Magnoliopsida; Solanales; Solanaceae. The record is from RNAcentral.
UCAAGUGUGCACAUUGUCCCGUUUAAUGAAGCAGGCUCAAGUCAGCGGGAGACCUUAACAUCCGCUAAGGAGUCUAAUAGUGAAGCUACUUCACCUGUAGAUUUGGUGAGACGAGAAAGUAGUUCUCGUGAGCAAGAUAUUGUUGGUACUGGACAGCCCGUGUUCCAUGAACAGUUGAAGCAGUCAAGUGUGCACAUUGUCCCAUUUAACGAAGCAGGUUCAGGUCAGCAGGAUACCUUAAGAUCUACUAAAAAGGAGUCAAAUACUGUAGCUACUUCACCUGUAGAUUUGAUGAGAUUAUCCAACCUGGAAACAGCUACUAGCUCCCAAAGAAUCAAUGUGGCUCAUUCAGAUAUGCUGAAUGCU